CUAAAACAGUAAAAAUAAAGACACUUCUUCAAUGUCUAAGCAUCUCCUACAGUUACUAAUACAGUGAGAGUUAAAUAUAACCUCCAUUUUUCUUGAUUUUUUAAAACAUAGCUAAUCAUUAGUGUUAACACGACAAAUGGAAACCAUGAAACCAUGUAGUGUAUCCCUUUUCAUAUGUGACCCUAACUCCUAUCCUAAAUGAAAAUGAUGGAUUGGAAGGCAAGAUAGCUCUAUGCUUGUCAUAGUCAUAUGCUUUCCCUUAUGGCUACAUGUCUUGAAUAAUCACCUUAUAGAAAAGGAUCUGUAGUUAUUUAGCCUUUUUUCCAUCAUGACUUCCUAAAGUACUUAACACACAUGUUAACUGCACAGCAAGUUGUUUGAAAUGUUUCCUAAAUAUCAUGUCUGCUUGUCAAAUGAAAUGUUUAGCUGUAUCUGAAUACAGAGCCUAAUAAAACAUAAUCCUGCAUGAAAAAA
Molecule: long non-coding RNA, 474 nt
Organism: Perognathus longimembris pacificus (Pacific pocket mouse)
Lineage: Eukaryota; Metazoa; Chordata; Mammalia; Rodentia; Heteromyidae
Exons: 3
Source: RefSeq, a predicted model, not a curated record